CAAAGUCUCCAGCAGUUUGAGAAGUUUGAUUGCCUAUUUGACAGUUGAGUUGUAGUGUUUGAGCGAAAAUGAUUAAGCAAAGAGACCGAAGAUUUACCGUUACCACGAGGAACGGGAGCAUGAUUAUUAUUAUUUUUUUGUACCAUCGCAUUCAAAUCUGCAAUGCUAGCGUCUACGCGAAAAAGGGAAAUAUAGAACAGUAUUUCAAAACGGCACACAAAACGUAUGAUGUGGACUUUCUCGCUUAUAGUGAGUUACGGAAAAAAAAGUGAAAAAAUUACAAUCUCAGCUAGCAGCAGUCAGUUUUUAUGAGGCCCAAUACAAGAGGGGAAGCGUCAAUCAACGCAUAGUUAUACUGUAGCAAGUGUGAGCCACCUCCUGGCUAAACACAAAGUCAUUUAGGGAUCGAGAAGUAAUACAACAAAAAAGUUUGCUGAGGAGAUUUCAAAAGCAAACAUUUUUGGCGAGGUUCAGACAGCUGUUGCCUGAAAUCAAAGAGUUUCUCAAGUCAUGUAAACAUGGUGAUUAUGCCUAAUUAGAGGAUGACCAGUGGCUCCUGGAUUUAGCAUUCCUCACAGACUGGACUGAAAUGCUGAAAGAGAUGAAUGUCGAGAUGCAGGGACAAAAUAAAAAUGUCAUCACGUUUAAAACAAUUACAAGUGUCCUCAAGUAAGCUGCUCAGUGCCAAUGCUCAUAUUAAGUGACAGGGGAAAUGGAUUCUGUGGCACAGAGUCAGUGAUGAGGACACCCUUUAAAUUCCAAAAUGUGAUGACCAGGGUCUUGUCCAGGACUUUGUCCUGGUGUGUGGGAUGAUGGAGAUCCCUGGGGCUUCCAUGCGAACUCUUGUAUUGUCUCAGGAUUCAAGACCUCAAUAUCUGUAUCAGUACCUGCCACCCUGUAGCAGGGGAAGCCGUUCCCUGAAGAUUUCCAGGAGACAGGCACCUGCAAGCUUGCAGUGACAUCAGCUACAGACCGUACAGCCUCCAAUCAGCUCUCCUCUGAUGCAUUGUGAAGCCGGCGGUCUCUAAUGGUGAAUAACCCUGAUGGAAGGGUAAGGGAGAGAGAAUUGCCAACAGCCGUUUCACCCUACGACUCAUAACUGGCAGUCCACUGAAGCUCAGCAGGUGUGAUCCUGGGCAGUACCUGGAUGGGAGGCUUCUGGGAAAACUAAGGCUGCUGGAAGAGGUUUUAGAGGGACCAGCAGGGAGUGCACAACCUAUGGUCUGUGUGGGUCCUUCCUAAUGCCCCAGAAUUGUGACGGGGACACUAGAGUGUAAAAAG
Lepisosteus oculatus (spotted gar) is the source of this 1281-nucleotide long non-coding RNA. RefSeq lists it as uncharacterized. The record is from RefSeq and is a predicted model, not a curated record. Lineage: Eukaryota; Metazoa; Chordata; Actinopteri; Semionotiformes; Lepisosteidae.